GAUAGGAGUUCAUUAGAAGGCAACGAAAAUUGAAGAAGUUUUUGUCCAUUUGUCAACAAGUGGAUUCCUAACGUUUGAUGUUCACACCAUAGCAUUUUUUUUAAUUGACAAGCUAAAACACUAAAAAAAGAAGAAGAAGCAUAUAUUCAAUAUAAUAAAAUUGUUACCUUAAGGGACUUACAAGAGUCGAACAAUGCUCCAAUCGCAAUUUUCAAAUUAGCACGACUAUGGUGGCAAAGCUGUCAAUUAGCAUCAAUAAAAGAUCACCUUUAAAUAAUGCUAUUCUUUUUUUUUUUUUUUUUUUCACUUUUCACUUUUUUCUUUUUUUAAUUUUAAACAUAAACAAAACAAACCUUUAAACGACACGGGCAUAAAUGAGGCCCAAAAUAGAUAUAACGGGCUUGGGUAAUGUAGGCUAUAACAAAGAUGGGCUUAAAGGAAGUGGGUUAUUUAGUAUAAGGAAAAGAUAGGAAUUAGCAUAUGGGUCUCGAUCUGGAGCAGCGGUUGCGAGGAAAUUGGGAUAUCCGUGAUUGUACAAUUACGGUUUGCAAUGAUAGCUUGUGGCAGAGAAUUGGUCGGGGCCGACGGCAGUGAUUCUGGUGAGUUGACAUUGUGAGUAGUGACUGGCGGCCAGGGUUGUGACGAGUGUUGGUUUGCUGCCAACGAAAUGAGUUAUGUGUUGGUUGGUUGCCGAUUUUGUGGAAUAUGUAAUGGAGUUGGGCUGAUUGUGUGGGAUGUUGGCAAUUUGAGGGUUGCUGGCGGUAACCGAAGCAAGUUCUGGAGUACAGUUCGCGAGAUUAGAGUGGAGGGG
This 811-nucleotide long non-coding RNA is filed under the name Olea europaea (common olive). RNAcentral describes it as "long non-coding RNA (OEUR_LNC007987)". The record is from RNAcentral. Lineage: Eukaryota; Viridiplantae; Streptophyta; Magnoliopsida; Lamiales; Oleaceae.